Molecule: non-coding RNA, 136 nt
Organism: Brachypodium distachyon (stiff brome)
Lineage: Eukaryota; Viridiplantae; Streptophyta; Magnoliopsida; Poales; Poaceae
Source: Rfam
AUUGUACUUCCUCCGUCCAACAAAAUAUGUCUCAAGUUUGUCAAAAUUUAGACGUAUCUAGAUGUGAUUUAGUAUAUAGAUGCAUUCAAAUUUAGUUAAAGUUGAGACAUUUUUUGUUGGACAUAGAGAGUAGUAU